AGCCGGUGAUGCCAGAUUAUAUUUGCUACUCUUGAUGGGAUUUGUUCCUAUCUGAUGAUUCUUUAUCCGCGAGGAUCUCUGAGGCC
Small nucleolar RNA from Salvia splendens (bonfire salvia), 86 nucleotides. RefSeq annotates it as small nucleolar RNA SNORD24. The record is from RefSeq and is a predicted model, not a curated record. The transcript has a single exon. Lineage: Eukaryota; Viridiplantae; Streptophyta; Magnoliopsida; Lamiales; Lamiaceae.